CAGCUGUAAACUAUGUGCGUUAGGUGUGUCAGUGACCACGUGUCACUGAGGUGCCGAAGGGAAACCGUGAAACGCACCGCCUGGGGAGUACGGUCGCAAGGCUGAAACUUAAAGGAUUGGCGGGGGAGCACCACAACGGGUGGAGCCUGCGGUUUAAUUGGAUUCAACGCCGGAAAUCUUACCGGGACCGACAGCAACAUGAAGGCCAGGCUGAAGACUUUGCCGGAUUAGCUGAGAGGAGGUGCAUGGCGUAGUCGUGU
RNAcentral lists this ribosomal RNA (260 nucleotides) under uncultured archaeon. RNAcentral describes it as "partial 16S ribosomal RNA". It matches the Rfam family "Archaeal small subunit ribosomal RNA", at positions 748 to 1009 of the family's 1478-position model. The record is from RNAcentral.